UAAAGCUUCUCUCAGUUCGGAUUGCAGGCUGCAACUCGCCUGCAUGAAGCCGGAAUCGCUAGUAAUCGCGGAUCAGCACGCCGCGGUGAAUACGUUCCCGGGCCUUGUACACACCGCCCGUCACACCACGAGAGUUUGUAACACCCGAAGUCGGUGAGGUAACCUUUUUGGAGCCAGCCGCCUAAGGUGGGAUAGAUGAUUGGGGUGAAGUCGUAACAAGGUAGCCGUAUCGGAAGGUGCGGCUGGAUCACCUCCUUUCUAAGGAA
Molecule: ribosomal RNA, 266 nt
Filed under: Enterococcus faecalis
Lineage: Bacteria; Bacillati; Bacillota; Bacilli; Lactobacillales; Enterococcaceae
Description: partial 16S ribosomal RNA
Rfam family: Bacterial small subunit ribosomal RNA
Source: RNAcentral